RNAcentral lists this ribosomal RNA (108 nucleotides) under Prolemur simus (greater bamboo lemur). The record is from RNAcentral. Lineage: Eukaryota; Metazoa; Chordata; Mammalia; Primates; Lemuridae.
GUCUACGGCCAUACCACUUGGAAUGCGCCCAAUCUCGUCUGAUCACAGAAGCUAAGCAGGGUAGGGCCUGGUUAGUACUUGGAUGGGAGAAAUAUAGUAUGGAAGGUA